Long non-coding RNA from Felis catus (domestic cat), 2317 nucleotides. RefSeq lists it as uncharacterized. Lineage: Eukaryota; Metazoa; Chordata; Mammalia; Carnivora; Felidae. The record is from RefSeq and is a predicted model, not a curated record. The transcript is spliced from 2 exons.
GCCUGUUUCCGAUUCUGUGUCUCCCUCUCUCUCUGGCCCUCCCCCAUUCAUGCUCUGUCUCUCUCUGUCCCAAAAAUAAAUAAACGUUGAACAAAAAAUUAAAAAAAAAAAAAAGAAAUGUGGAGGCUAACGUUUCUUCCAACGUAUUCCACUAUCAGUGAAUUUUGCAAGAUGCUUCAUCUGCCCAAAUUCUCAUUUCUUCAAACAAACGCUCUUAAAAUGUGACACCUUCUAAAAAGCCCGUGGAAGAAAUUAGUGUAUUCACAGAAAAACUCCUCAUGGACUUAAUAUUUGCAUUUUACUACUUGUUACGAGAAAUUUCAAGCCAUGCAAAAUGGGAUGGCUUUUGGUGGAUUUCUAUAGUACAGUUCAGUUCUCUAGCAUAUAAUUUGGAAGCAAGAUAAGGUUUGAAACAACCACUUUAAUCAAGAGUUUUACUUUAUUUUUCAAUUCUUCAUGAAGAUGGAUCCAGAGCUCUGGUAGUUAGGUUCCUGUGAUGUGGAUGAAGGAACCCCUGCAGAUUCUCUUUUCGUCUCUGUCUUCUUCACGUUUAUUCACUUUUUUCUUUCUUUCUGCCCAAAUUGUAUUUAUAACUUGACCACUUCUAACUAAAGCAAACAUCUUAUAACAAAGAAUCUGAAAAUCUUUCCAACUUAACCCUCUUGGGGAAAUUCCCAAGGCAGGCAAAAUGAUGAUCCACCAUCAUUAAAAGAUACCCAUAACCCGGCAUAGUAAAAACAUGCAAAUAAAGAAUGUGACCGAAUCUCCCAACUGGGUCUGAGCUUUAGGCCUUAUUGUACUCCUCUUAUCUGCUUUAGUGGAUGACUAAAAACACUCUAGAUCUCAGACACCUUACUUGUAACCAUAAAACUUGAGUUGAAAUUAAUGAGCAUGUCACUUUUAAUCAGAUUCUAAUUUUGAAAAACGUGUUACCUUUCUAGUUCAAUUGUGUUUUCCAGAUAGCCUUGUUUAUCUAACACGGAAACAAACGAAUGCCAGAGAUAUUAAGCUGUCUAAAUUUUGGCUUAAGGCCAACAGCGGUCCACGAGAGGCGUAAUCAAAACAAAAAGUAGAAAAGAGAAGUCCAGCGGUUGUGUUCCCCACCCCUGCCAGAAUGUAAUGCUAACUGUUGACCAACUGUCAAGACUCAGAAGUGGUAGCUGCCUUCCAAGGAGCUGGCACAAAGGACAUAAUGAGUGUGUGUGUGCUACCCUUAUCACGGCAAGCUGGGCCGGGGGUGCAGCGAUGAUUAAGACAGGACCGUAAGAGAGGGAAAGAUACAACAAGGGUUGGAAAGAUCAUCUCAGGACCUGCUGGUGGGGGAUAUUACAACCCUGAGGAGUGUUGAUAGGUAUGUUGUAUGAUUCAAACUGAAUCAGCUAUUACUGAUGCAGGUAAGGAACCAUCAGUAAACUCCUGGUUACUACACCUUCUGUAAAAAAGGAUGGAUAAUGUUCAAGAGAUACCCUGGAAGGACUAACCAGGAAACACACAGAACUGAGUGUUCUUUUAGGACCCUAAAGCUCUAAAAGCUGUUAUUACAACCUAUUUUUCUUUAUGUGAUAUCGUAAGUAAAAUUUGAAGCUGUUAAUAUAUUGGAAAGUGCAUAAGAUUACAUGUUUUUAUAAUAGGGAUGCAGGCAUUCCAAAAUAAAUAAAUAAAAAUACAUGCAUCUCUCUUGCCUCUUACUGAAAGUAUUAAUCUAAUUUUAUAAUAAUGCUUACUUUUUAAUAUUAAGGCUCUGUAAAAAGAAACAUAUUUAUUUCUAAGAUUUCAGUAGAGCACAGGUGAUGUAUUUUUUUAAGCCUUAUCAUUUCUUUUCACCAACUCUACCCAUGUAUCUACUAUACCAUGUAUCCCAGUUAAUAGCUAUGUUUCUAUUUUUGUUGAGUUAAUUUAAGCUUCAUAUUCAUUCAGUGUGACUUUAAAUACAGAAUAACAAUGGGAGGUAUUUAGUACUGGCAUUAAGACCAUACAGCUCUCAUUUCACCUUAUAUUUAAAUUUCAUCUAUUUUUUUUCAAAGCUAAUAAUGCAGAUUGUUGACAUCCUUGAAAUGAUUUGUGGGUGGUAUUAAAUGGAGCCUGGGACUUUGAAAUGUAGACUAGAUGUUUGUUUUCUGGAAAGUUUGUAUUCUUAUCCUCACCUGAACCCCUGACUUUUGUGUUGUAUUUUUUUAUGAUUCCAAAAUGCUUUGAGGGAAAGAUAUUUUAAUGUGUACAAUUUGUUUUAUUUUCAUACUGAUCUCUAUUUUUGUUUAAAACCAUGUUGCAUCAUGAAAUCACUUAAUCCAAAAUAAAUCUUCUUUAAAAAAAAAUA